CCCACCCUGACGCAUCCUGUACUGAGCUGCCCCGAGCUGAGCACAGUGAAGGACCUCGGGGCAGCUCAGUACAGGACCCCUCAGGGAGGG
RNAcentral lists this non-coding RNA (90 nucleotides) under Mus musculus (house mouse). Its description in RNAcentral is "microRNA mmu-mir-486b precursor". Its record names the gene mmu-mir-486b. The stretch from base 12 to 79 matches the Rfam family "mir-486 microRNA precursor family". The record is from miRBase by way of RNAcentral. RNAcentral also lists the same sequence under 1 other name. Lineage: Eukaryota; Metazoa; Chordata; Mammalia; Rodentia; Muridae.